Molecule: transfer RNA, 71 nt
Filed under: Loxodonta africana (African savanna elephant)
Lineage: Eukaryota; Metazoa; Chordata; Mammalia; Proboscidea; Elephantidae
Rfam family: tRNA
About the family: Transfer RNA (tRNA) molecules are approximately 80 nucleotides in length. Their secondary structure includes four short double-helical elements and three loops (D, anti-codon, and T loops).
Source: Rfam by way of RNAcentral
GCAGAGGUGGUUCAGUAGUAGAAUUCUUGCCUUCCAUGUGGGAGACCCAGGUUCAAUUCCCAGCCAAUGCA